AGCGAACGCUGGCGGCAGGCUUAACACAUGCAAGUCGAACGGGCAUAGCAAUAUGUCAGUGGCAGACGGGUGAGUAACGCGUGGGAACGUACCUUUUGGUUCGGAACAACACAGGGAAACUUGUGCUAAUACCGGAUAAGCCCUUACGGGGAAAGAUUUAUCGCCGAAAGAUCGGCCCGCGUCUGAUUAGCUAGUUGGUAGGGUAAUGGCCUACCAAGGCGACGAUCAGUAGCUGGUCUGAGAGGAUGAUCAGCCACAUUGGGACUGAGACACGGCCCAAACUCCUACGGGAGGCAGCAGUGGGGAAUAUUGGACAAUGGGCGAAAGCCUGAUCCAGCCAUGCCGCGUGAGUGAUGAAGGCCCUAGGGUUGUAAAGCUCUUUUGUGCGGGAAGAUAAUGACGGUACCGCAAGAAUAAGCCCCGGCUAACUUCGU
RNAcentral lists this ribosomal RNA (434 nucleotides) under uncultured bacterium. RNAcentral describes it as "partial 16S ribosomal RNA". It matches the Rfam family "Bacterial small subunit ribosomal RNA", at positions 29 to 506 of the family's 1533-position model. The record is from RNAcentral.